CCGGCAACGCCGCGUGAAGGAUGAAGUAUUUCGGUAUGUAAACUUCGAAAGAAUGGGAAGAAUAAAUGACGGUACCAUUUAUAAGGUCCGGCUAACUACGUGCCAGCAGCCGCGGUAAUACGUAGGGACCAAGCGUUGUUCGGAUUUACUGGGCGUAAAGGGCGCGUAGGCGGCGCGGUAAGUCACUUGUGAAAUCUCUGAGCUUAACUCAGAACGGCCAAGUGAUACUGCAGUGCUAGAGUGUGGAAGGGGCAAUCGGAAUUCUUGGUGUAGCGGUGAAAUGCGUAGAUAUCAAGAGGAACACCUGAGGUGAAGACGGGUUGCUGGGCCAACACUGACGCUGAGGCGCGAAAGCCAGGGGAGCAAACGGGAUUAGAUACCCCGGUAGUCCUGGCCCUAAACGAUGAAUACUUGGUGUCUGGAGUUUUAAUGCUCCGGGUGCCGUCGCUAACGUUUUUAGUAUUCCGCCUGGGGAGUACGCUCGCAAGAGUGGAACUCAAAGGAAUUGACGGGGACCCGCACAAGCGGUGGAGCAUGUGGUUUAAUUCGACGCAACGCGAAGAACCUUACCUGGACUAGAAUGUGAGGGAAUGUCGGGUAAUGCCGGCAGUCCGGGAAACCGGACCCAAAACAAGGUGCUGCAUGGCUGUCGUCAGCUCGUGUCGUGAGAUGUUGGGUUAAGUCCCGCAACGAGCGCAACCCUUAUCAACAGUUGCCAUCAUUAAGUUGGGAACUCUGUUGAGACUGCCGUUGAUAAAACGGAGGUAGGUGGGGAUGAUGUCAAGUCAUCAUGGCCUUUAUGUUCAGGGCUACACACGUGCUACAAUGGAUGGUACAAAACGUCGCAAUCUCGUAAGAGGGAGCUAAUCGCGAAAACCAUUCUCAGUUCGGAUUGAAGUCUGCAACUCGACUUCAUGAAGUUGGAAUCGCUAGU
Molecule: ribosomal RNA, 934 nt
Filed under: uncultured bacterium
Lineage: Bacteria
Description: bacterial SSU rRNA
Rfam family: Bacterial small subunit ribosomal RNA
Source: RNAcentral